This 293-nucleotide ribosomal RNA is filed under the name uncultured bacterium. Its description in RNAcentral is "partial 16S ribosomal RNA". It matches the Rfam family "Bacterial small subunit ribosomal RNA", at positions 333 to 643 of the family's 1533-position model. The record is from RNAcentral.
UAAAUUCUACGGGAGGCAGCAGGGGGGGAUAUUGCACAAUGGGGGGAACCCUGAAGCAGCGACGCCGCGUGGGUGAAGAAGCGCCUCGGCGCGUAAAGCCCUGUCAGCAGGGAAGAAAAUGACGGUACCUGAAGAAGAAGCCCCGGCUAACUACGUGCCAGCAGCCGCGGUAAUACGUAGGGGGCAAGCGUUAUCCGGAUUUACUGGGUGUAAAGGGGGCGCAGACGGCGAUGCAAGCCAGGAGUGAAAGCCCGGGGCCCAACCCCGGGACUGCUCUUGGAACUGCGUGGCUG